This 441-nucleotide ribosomal RNA is filed under the name uncultured bacterium. Its description in RNAcentral is "partial 16S ribosomal RNA". It matches the Rfam family "Bacterial small subunit ribosomal RNA", at positions 338 to 795 of the family's 1533-position model. The record is from RNAcentral.
CCUACGGGUGGCAGCAGUGGGGGAUAUUGCACAAUGGGGGGAACCCUGAUGCAGCGACGCCGCGUGGGUGAAGGAGUGCUUCGGCAUGUAAAGCCCUAUCGGCAGGGAAGAAGCAAGACGGUACCUGACUAAGAAGCCCCGGCUAACUACGUGCCAGCAGCCGCGGGAAUACGUAGGGGGCGAGCGUUCUCCGGAUUCACUGGGUGUAAAGGGAGCGUAGACGGCCAAGCAAGCCAGGGGUGAAAGCCCGGGGCCCAACCCCGGGACUGCCCUUGGAACUGCAUGGCGGGAGUGCGGGAGGGGCAGGCGGAAUUCCUGGUGGAGCGGUGAAAUGCGUAGAUAUCAGGAGGAACACCGGCGGCGAAGGCGGCCUGCUGGACCGCGACUGACGUUGAGGCUCGAAAGCGUGGGGAGCGAACAGGAUUAGAUACCCCAGUAGUC